UGGCCCGUUGGUCAAGUGGUUAAGACACCGCCCUUUCACGGCGGUAACAUGAGUUCAAAUCUCGUACGGGUCAUUUA
RNAcentral lists this transfer RNA (77 nucleotides) under Lactobacillus jensenii 269-3. Its description in RNAcentral is "tRNA-Glu". It matches the Rfam family "tRNA". Rfam says of the family: Transfer RNA (tRNA) molecules are approximately 80 nucleotides in length. Their secondary structure includes four short double-helical elements and three loops (D, anti-codon, and T loops). Lineage: Bacteria; Bacillati; Bacillota; Bacilli; Lactobacillales; Lactobacillaceae. The record is from RNAcentral.